RNAcentral lists this long non-coding RNA (549 nucleotides) under Sander lucioperca (pikeperch). Its description in RNAcentral is "lncRNA (ENSSLUG00000022243.1)". Lineage: Eukaryota; Metazoa; Chordata; Actinopteri; Perciformes; Percidae. The record is from RNAcentral.
CGGACACCCGCUGGAAAUAAGGAAUGGAUUUACAAUCGCUAUUAACGUAUUCAUGACAGAUUUUAGCAAUGAACAAUGACCAUAGUUGACAGAUCUUCAGAAAAGUCUGACUACGAGUCAGUCGGGUGUAAGCGAACUCCCUUUACCAGUGGAGACGCGGGGAUGGACGGCAGCUGUUCCAGCAGCUGGGCAAUGGGCAAUCCCACGAUGCCCAGCGACUCUCCGAGGCUGAAGGCUGCAGGAGGCUGCCUGGGCCCCACGCCUGGAGCUGCAGUCUACAACAGUACACCCUCCUCUGCGGACCGGCCCAAGGAGCAAGAUCGUUUAUAGAUCUCGACAUUUCUGAGGCAGGCAGCUUCAUUUCACGGAGAGAGAGAGAGAGAGAGAGAGAGAAAAGAGACGGAUCGACUGUGCUUUGUGCUGGAGCUUGUUGCAGGAAACAGUCAGCUGUUACACAAACUCCUGGGCAGUUAAGUGCUUGUGUUUUGUUUUUUAACCUUAUCAUUUUUUAUUUACUAUACGGGACUCUUACACCACCUCAAAACAGAC